UCGUAACAAGGUCUCCGUAGGUGAACCUGCGGAGGGAUCAUUACACAAUAAACAUAUGAAGGCUGCACCGCCAACAGGCGGCAAGGCUGGAGUAUUUUAUUACCCUUGUCUUUUGCGCACUUGUUGUUUCCUGGGCGGGUUCGCCCGCCUCCAGGACCACAUGAUAAACCUUUUUUAUGCAGUUGCAAUCAGCGUCAGUACAACAAAUGUAAAUCAUUUACAACUUUCAACAACGGAUCUCUUGGUUCUGGCAUCGAUGAAGAACGCAGCGAAAUGCGAUACGUAGUGUGAAUUGCAGAAUUCAGUGAAUCAUCGAAUCUUUGAACGCACAUUGCGCCCUUUGGUAUUCCAAAGGGCAUGCCUGUUCGAGCGUCAUUUGUACCCUCAAGCUUUGCUUGGUGUUGGGCGUUUUUUGUCUUUGGUUUUGUCCAAAGACUCGCCUUAAAACGAUUGGCAGCCGGCCUACUGGUUUCGCAGCGCAGCACAUUUUUGCGCUUGCAAUCAGCAAAAGAGGACGGCACUCCAUCAAGACUCUAUAUCACUUUUGACCUCGGAUCAGGUAGGGAUACCCGCUGAACUUAAGCAUAUCAAUAAGCGGAGGAA
RNAcentral lists this unclassified non-coding RNA (603 nucleotides) under Curvularia lunata. Its description in RNAcentral is "sequence contains 18S rRNA gene, ITS1, 5.8S rRNA gene, ITS2, 28S rRNA gene". The stretch from base 222 to 375 matches the Rfam family "5.8S ribosomal RNA". The record is from RNAcentral. Lineage: Eukaryota; Fungi; Ascomycota; Dothideomycetes; Pleosporales; Pleosporaceae.